AUUGUAGCCAUCACCAUUAAAUAAGAUCUCAUGUUCUAAACAGCAUAUUUCCUUCAGCAAAGAAUGAUUAGUUAGAGAGGAAACUCAAAAGGGUCUGAAGUUAAAUUCAGCUAAAAACAUUAUGUGGCUUAUGCAAAAGUUAUCAGAAAUAAGUAUUCUGGAUCUAGGGUCCUCCCGAUCCCCACCUUGUCCUCCACCCCACAAGAUUUCACUUUAUAUUACACUUCAGCACUUUUAUAUCAGGCUAAAACUUGGCAUAAUAAAUUGCAAAGCCCAAGGGAUGCAGACAUGAGGCAGAGGUUUU
Dermochelys coriacea (leatherback sea turtle) is the source of this 304-nucleotide long non-coding RNA. RefSeq lists it as uncharacterized. The transcript is spliced from 2 exons. The record is from RefSeq and is a predicted model, not a curated record. NCBI's taxonomy places the organism in Eukaryota, Metazoa, Chordata, Testudines, Dermochelyidae.